GCGCGAAAACUUUACAAUGCUGGCAACAGCGAUAAGGGGACCUCGAGUGCCAGGAUACAAUCCUGGCUGUCGUAAUGCCUAAAAAGCAUUGCAUAGCAAGGGCCGGGCAAGACCGGUGCCAGCCGCCGCGGUAACACCGGCGGCUCGAGUGGUAACCGCUAUUAUUGGGUCUAAAGGGUCUGUAGCCGGCUGGAUAAGUCUCUUGGGAAAUCCGGCAGCUUAACUGUCGGGCUUUCAGGGGAUACUGUCCGGCUCGAGACCGGGAGAGGUGAGAGGUACUUCAGGGGUAGGGGUGAAAUCUUGUAAUCCUUGAAGGACCACCAGUGGCGAAGGCGUCUCACCAGAACGGAUCUGACGGCAAGGGACGAAAGCUAGGGGCACGAACCGGAUUAGAUACCCGGGUAGUCCUAGCCGUAAACGAUACUCGCUAGGUGUCGGCCACGGUGCGACCGUGGUCGGUGCCGUAGGGAAGCCGUGAAGCGAGCCACCUGGGAAGUACGGCCGCAAGGCUGAAACUUAAAGGAAUUGGCGGGGGA
This 536-nucleotide ribosomal RNA is filed under the name uncultured Methanosarcinales archaeon. RNAcentral's name for it is "bacterial SSU rRNA". It matches the Rfam family "Archaeal small subunit ribosomal RNA", at positions 339 to 875 of the family's 1478-position model. The record is from RNAcentral. Lineage: Archaea; Methanobacteriati; Methanobacteriota; Methanomicrobia; Methanosarcinales.